GCCGAGGUGGCGAAAUUGGCAGACGCAAGGGACUUAAAAUCCCUCGGAGUAAAAUCCGUACCGGUUCAAGUCCGGUCCUCGGCACCA
RNAcentral lists this transfer RNA (87 nucleotides) under bacterium. RNAcentral's name for it is "tRNA-Leu". It matches the Rfam family "tRNA". Rfam says of the family: Transfer RNA (tRNA) molecules are approximately 80 nucleotides in length. Their secondary structure includes four short double-helical elements and three loops (D, anti-codon, and T loops). The record is from RNAcentral.